CCUACGGGAGGCAGCAGUGGGGAAUCUUGCGCAAUGGGCGAAAGCCUGACGCAGCCAUGCCGCGUGAAUGAUGAAGGUCUUAGGAUUGUAAAAUUCUUUCACCGGGGACGAUAAUGACGGUACCCGGAGAAGAAGCCCCGGCUAACUUCGUGCCAGCAGCCGCGGUAAUACGAAGGGGGCUAGCGUUGCUCGGAAUUACUGGGCGUAAAGGGAGCGUAGGCGGAUAGUUUAGUCAGAGGUGAAAGCCCAGGGCUCAACCUUGGAAUUGCCUUUGAUACUGGCUAUCUUGAGUAUGGGAGAGGUUAGCGGAACUCCGAGUGUAGAGGUGAAAUUCGUAGAUAUUCGGAAGAACACCAGUGGCGAAGGCGGCUAACUGGCCCAUUACUGACGCUGAGGCUCGAAAGCGUGGGGAGCAAACAGGAUUAGAUACCCUGGUAGUCCACGCCGUAAACGAUGAGUGCUAGUUGUCGGCAUGCAUGCAUGUCGGUGACGCGAGCUACGACAUAAGUACACUCCGCCGUCGGGAGGUACGGUCGCGAGAAUUAAACUACGAAGAAGUAGACGGCGUGAGACGUGCCGAACGGACGACGACGAGGGAGGUAGG
This 604-nucleotide ribosomal RNA is filed under the name uncultured bacterium. Its description in RNAcentral is "bacterial SSU rRNA". The stretch from base 1 to 519 matches the Rfam family "Bacterial small subunit ribosomal RNA", at positions 338 to 873 of the family's 1533-position model. The record is from RNAcentral.